Molecule: long non-coding RNA, 1129 nt
Filed under: Homo sapiens (human)
Lineage: Eukaryota; Metazoa; Chordata; Mammalia; Primates; Hominidae
Description: HSALNT0256787
Source: RNAcentral
GGAACGCCAGCGACCCCAGCAGCGCUGCGGACGGUGCUGGCCGUGGCCGCUGCGGCCCCCGUGUCCAGGUGGGCCAGGACGCAGCCUCUGGGCGCCGUCGCUUUUCCAGCAUCGCAGAGGCAAAAGCGUGGCAGUGGGACCCAAAAGGGCUCACCCUUCAGAGGACAAUGACUUUUACAUCAACUACAAGGACAUCGACCUGGCUUCCCAGCCUGUCUACUGUAACCUGCAGUCACUGGGCCAGGCCCCAAUGGAUGAAGAGGAGUACGUGAUCCCCGGGCACUGAGCCUAAGAUGUCCUAACCUCCACCCAGAACCCCUUCAGUCCCUGCUGGGUGACUCAGGGCGUCCUAACGCCUCCAUGGCCUCAGUUUCCCCAUCUGAAGAAUGGGUACAGGAAAGGAUUGUCCUUGAGGCCCCAGGAAGCUCUGCCGCCCCCUCCCUGUCCCUCAUGCCGCUCCUCAGCUCCCUCAGCUCCUAGAGGGGGAAGAGGAGAGACCCCCAACAAGGGGACAGGACGGUCACUGUGCCAAUCCUGUCAUCACCCUCCUGUGGAUGUACAGGCAGUGCUCAAUAAAUGCUUCGAGGCUGAUGAGGCUGCUGGCUCAGGGUGCGUGGGUUCCUCAAGGUGGGGAUUUCUGAGUUCUAAGACCAAGUCUCCAUCUGAGACUCCCAAAUUGCUCCCCACCUCCCAUCCCUGUUUUUUUUUGUUGUUGUUGUUUGUUUGUUUGUUUUUGAAACUGAGUGUCACUCUGUCACCCAGGCUGGAGUGCAAUGCUGCGGUCUCAGCUCACUGCAACCUCCGCCUCCUGGGUUCAAGUGAUUCUCCUGCCUCAGCCUCCUGAGUAGCUGGGAUUACAGCACCCGCCACCAUGCCGAGCUAAUUUUUGUAUUUAUAAUAGAGAUGGGGUUUCGCCAUGUUGGCCAGGCUGGUCUCGAACUCCUGACCUCAAGCGAUCUGCCCGCCUCGGCCUCCUGAAGUGCUGGGAUUACAGGCGUGGCCACUGCGCCCAGGCACAUUCCUCCCUUCUGCCCCUCUCAGGGCCCCUUCCCAGGUCCCUGAUCUCCAGGCUUGGCCUCCAGAGCAGCCCACACCAACCCCAAAAUAAAAAAAUGUAUAUAUUCCUUUA